UACGAAGGGGGCUAGCGUAGUUCGGAUUUACUGGGCGUAAAGCGCACGUAGGCGGAUCGUUAAGUUAGGGGUGAAAUCCUGGAGCUCAACUCCAGAACUGCCCUUAAUACUGGCGAUCUCGAGUCCGGAAGAGGUGAGUGGAACUCCUAGUGUAGAGGUGGAAUUCGUAGAUAUUAGGAAGAACACCAGUGGCGAAGGCGGCUUACUGGUCCGGAACUGACGCUGAGGUGCGAAAGCGUGGGGAGCAAACAGG
RNAcentral lists this unclassified non-coding RNA (253 nucleotides) under uncultured Alphaproteobacteria bacterium. RNAcentral's name for it is "contains 16S-23S intergenic spacer region". It matches the Rfam family "Bacterial small subunit ribosomal RNA", at positions 524 to 776 of the family's 1533-position model. The record is from RNAcentral. Lineage: Bacteria; Pseudomonadati; Pseudomonadota; Alphaproteobacteria.